CCUACGUUGGGCAGCAGUGGGGAAUAUUGGGCAAUGGAGGAAACUCUGACCCAGCAACGCCGCGUGAAUGAUGAAGGUCUUCGGAUUGUAAAGUUCUUUUCUAAGGGAAGAAGAAAGUGACGGUACCUUAGGAAUAAGCCUCGGCUAACUACGUGCCAGCAGCCGCGGUAAUACGUAGGAGGCAAGCGUUAUCCGGAAUGACUGGGCGUAAGGGGUGCGUAGGGGGUUUGAUAAGUUGGUAGCGUAACGCCGAGGCUCAACCUCGGCACUACUACCAAAUCUGUCGGACGUGAGUGCAGGAGGGGCAACUGGAAUUCCUAGUGUAGCGGUGGAAUGCGUAGAUAGUAGGAGGAACACCAGUGGCGAAGGCGAGUUGCUGGACUGUAACUGACACUGAGGCACGAAAGCGUGGGGAGCAAACAGGAUUAGAUACCCUUGUAGUC
Molecule: ribosomal RNA, 443 nt
Filed under: uncultured bacterium
Lineage: Bacteria
Description: partial 16S ribosomal RNA
Rfam family: Bacterial small subunit ribosomal RNA
Source: RNAcentral